This 520-nucleotide ribosomal RNA is filed under the name Penicillium sp. MS13a. RNAcentral describes it as "eukaryotic LSU rRNA". The stretch from base 165 to 318 matches the Rfam family "5.8S ribosomal RNA". The record is from RNAcentral. Lineage: Eukaryota; Fungi; Ascomycota; Eurotiomycetes; Eurotiales; Aspergillaceae.
CCCUCGGGGUCCAACCUCCCACCCGUGUUUAACGAACCUUUGUUGCUUCGGCGGGCCCGCCUCACGGCCGCCGGGGGGCUUCUGCCCCCGGGCCCGCGCCCGCCGAAGACCCCUGUGAACGCUGUCUGAAGUAUGCAGUCUGAGAAACUAGCUAAAUUAGUUAAAACUUUCAACAACGGAUCUCUUGGUUCCGGCAUCGAUGAAGAACGCAGCGAAAUGCGAUAACUAAUGUGAAUUGCAGAAUUCAGUGAAUCAUCGAGUCUUUGAACGCACAUUGCGCCCUCUGGUAUUCCGGAGGGCAUGCCUGUCCGAGCGUCAUUGCUGCCCUCAAGCACGGGUUGGGUGUUGGGCCCCGUCCCCCCCUCUGCCGGGGGGACGGGCCCGAAAGGCAGCGGCGGCACCGCGUCCGGUCCUCGAGCGUAUGGGGCUUCGUCACCCGCUCUUGUAGGCCCGGCCGGCGCCAGCCGACCCCAACCCUAAAUUUUUUCAGGUUGACCUCGGAUCAGGUAGGGAUACCCGC